CGGUGUCGGGUUGUACCUCUGAUGUCCCCAAUGUCCCCAAAGCCCCAAUACCCCAAUGUCCUGCUGUCCCCAAGGAUGUCCCUCACUCGGUGGCAGUGACACUGACCCGGUGCCAGGCAUUGCUGAGGACCCUGUGCAGGUUCCAGAUGUCCCCAAUGACCCCAAUGUCCUUGCUGUGUCCCCAAUGU
This 188-nucleotide long non-coding RNA is filed under the name Zonotrichia albicollis (white-throated sparrow). RNAcentral describes it as "lncRNA (ENSZALG00000009178.1)". Lineage: Eukaryota; Metazoa; Chordata; Aves; Passeriformes; Passerellidae. The record is from RNAcentral.